AGGUAUAAGUAUAGGUAUUAUGUAGUUUAAAGCGUUGCUUUUUUAUCACACAGGAGUGCGUGUUUUUAAUCAGGCACUGACAAGGACCGCACAUUACAAGGCGGAUGUCUCCUUGACUCAAGGACCCAUUCUACAGGUGAUCAUCAAUCAUCGACCAAAUUAGCAUUUUUUUUUACCUCAGUUGACUCAUUUGAUCUUAACCCAAAAGUUUCAAAAGGUCAAAUCAUGAUGGAUGCAAGUCGAGCCAAAAGGCUUUUCAAAAAGACGCCCAGGAACAGUUUCCAAAGCGUGACGACCGACCCUGGACGCUGAUGUCAACGGACU
This is a long non-coding RNA of Hippocampus comes (tiger tail seahorse), 324 nucleotides long. RefSeq lists it as uncharacterized. Lineage: Eukaryota; Metazoa; Chordata; Actinopteri; Syngnathiformes; Syngnathidae. The record is from RefSeq and is a predicted model, not a curated record. The transcript is spliced from 3 exons.